CACACCGCCCGUCACAUCAUGGGAGUUGGUUUUACCCGAAGUCGCUGACUCAACCGCGAGGGGAGAGGCGCCGAAGGUAGGGCUGAUGACUAGGAUG
RNAcentral lists this ribosomal RNA (97 nucleotides) under uncultured bacterium. RNAcentral describes it as "partial 16S ribosomal RNA". It matches the Rfam family "Bacterial small subunit ribosomal RNA", at positions 1386 to 1482 of the family's 1533-position model. The record is from RNAcentral.